RNAcentral lists this ribosomal RNA (253 nucleotides) under uncultured bacterium. RNAcentral describes it as "partial 16S ribosomal RNA". It matches the Rfam family "Bacterial small subunit ribosomal RNA", at positions 524 to 776 of the family's 1533-position model. The record is from RNAcentral.
UACGUAGGGUGCAGGCGUUAAUCGGAAUUACUGGGCGUAAAGCGUGCGCAGGCGGUGAUGUAAGUCAGUUGUGAAAUCCCCGGGCUCAACCUGGGAACUGCAUCUGUGACUGCAUCGCUGGAGUGCGGCAGAGGGGGAUGGAAUUCCGCGUGUAGCAGUGAAAUGCGUAGAUAUGCGGAGGAACACCGAUGGCGAAGGCAAUCCCCUGGGCCUGCACUGACGCUCAUGCACGAAAGCGUGGGGAGCAAACAGG